This 380-nucleotide long non-coding RNA is filed under the name Citrus sinensis (sweet orange). RNAcentral describes it as "long non-coding RNA (CSIN_LNC002326)". Lineage: Eukaryota; Viridiplantae; Streptophyta; Magnoliopsida; Sapindales; Rutaceae. The record is from RNAcentral.
AAAAAUGGUACAACUUUAGUCUUUGAUCGAGAUGAGGAAUGGGAUCCUAAUGACUAGUGAUAUUGUUUCCUUGUUUAUCAUUGAAGGCGGCAUUCAGUUUCCAGCAAUUUCCUCUGGGCUGAAAUUUUUGGGGGAAAAAAGAAGGUAACCUGCUAAGGUCAAUUUUUUUUUCUCCACAUUUCUAGCUUAGUGCUUGAGACUGAAAUUUUGGGGGGGGAAAAUGAAGGUAACCUGCUAAGGUCAAUUUUUUUUCCACAUUUCUAGCUUAGUGCUUGAGAGAAAUAAAUCUUCAAAUUUAUUCUUUUUGAGUAGAUUCAAGAAAUCUUCCAAUUACAGAAAAGAAAUACUUGUAUACUUUCAUACGUCAGACAUUUCGAACA